UACGGGGGGGGCAAGCGUUGUUCGGAAUUACUGGGCGUAAAGGGCUCGUAGGCGGCCAACUAAGUCAGACGUGAAAUCCCUCGGCUUAACCGGGGAACUGCGUCUGAUACUGGAUGGCUUGAGGUUGGGAGAGGGAUGCGGAAUUCCAGGUGUAGCGGUGAAAUGUGUAGAGAUCCGGAGGAACACCAGUGGUGCAAACGGCGCCCUGGGUCCGAACUGACGCUGAAGCACGAAAGCGUGGGGAGCGAACGGG
This 253-nucleotide ribosomal RNA is filed under the name uncultured bacterium. RNAcentral describes it as "partial 16S ribosomal RNA". It matches the Rfam family "Bacterial small subunit ribosomal RNA", at positions 524 to 776 of the family's 1533-position model. The record is from RNAcentral.